Molecule: small RNA, 127 nt
Filed under: Marmota monax (woodchuck)
Lineage: Eukaryota; Metazoa; Chordata; Mammalia; Rodentia; Sciuridae
Source: RNAcentral
GGUGGGUGUGGUGGUGCACACCUGUAAUCCCAGUGACACAGGAGGCUGAGGCAGGAGGACUGCACGUUCAAAGCCAGCCUCCACUACUUAGCGAGACCCUAAGUAACUCAGUGAGACCCUGUCUCUA